UGACAUUCAAACAUGGCCACAUCUUGAUGAUGGAAUGCCACAUUCUACGAGUAAAUGCAGUGGAUGUUGAAUAUAUUGGCAAAUACAAAGAUGAGAGGGCCUACUCAUAUUGGAUGAGUGGAUUUGUUGAUAUAAUUUAUGUUGCCAAAUGCCCCAUUGACAAGACCAUGACAUUUUUUGUAAAGCUCAGUAUGUCCACCACAAAGGAUUUGUGAUGACUCACAUAUAAAAGUGUGGAUGUGUGUCCUUGAACAGCUAGAACAGUUGAGGCAUGUAAUCAUGUACUUGUAGUCCUCUAUAUAUAAGAUCAACUAUGCUUACAACAAGCAAUAUAUUUCCCCUGUCUGUGUGCCUGUACCAGUGUUCCCCAAGGAUGGAACAAAGGAACAUGAAAAGAAGUAAAUCCAAGCAAGGUUAAAAAUUUAAUAUUUAGACCAAACACCUGGCUGCGAUUAAACAUUGAGGAAAGAAUUUGACCCCAGAAAACCUGAG
Non-coding RNA from Paramuricea clavata, 492 nucleotides. NCBI's taxonomy places the organism in Eukaryota, Metazoa, Cnidaria, Anthozoa, Malacalcyonacea, Plexauridae. The record is from the annotation of a GenBank genome assembly.